This 385-nucleotide RNase P RNA is filed under the name Planctomycetota bacterium. RNAcentral describes it as "RNase P RNA component class A". It matches the Rfam family "Bacterial RNase P class A". Rfam says of the family: Ribonuclease P (RNase P) is a ubiquitous endoribonuclease, found in archaea, bacteria and eukarya as well as chloroplasts and mitochondria. Its best characterised activity is the generation of mature 5'-ends of tRNAs by cleaving the 5'-leader elements of precursor-tRNAs. Cellular RNase Ps are ribonucleoproteins. The record is from RNAcentral. Lineage: Bacteria; Pseudomonadati; Planctomycetota.
AAAGUAGACGAGGUGGUCGUCGGUUCUAACUAUUCAUGAGGAUAGUCGGAAUGGGAGGAAAGUCCGAGCUCCAUAGGACACAGUGCUCCAUAACGCGGAGUCCCGGUGACGGGAAGGAAAGUGCAACAGAAAAUAUACCGUCCUGCUUUUCGUGGGAUAAGGGUGAAAUGGUGGGAUCGUUUAUCGAUUUAAUGUAAGAGCCCACCGCUCUGAUGGCGACGUCAGAGGCAUGGCAAACCCCGCUGGGAGAAAGGCUAAAUAGGGAGGGAUGAAGUGGUCCGCUUCGUUACGGUACCUCCGGGUAAGCCGUUAGAUCUCGCUGGUAACAGUGAGACUAGACAAAUGACCAUCCAAGACAGAACUCGGCUUAUUGUCUACUUAAAUG